GACGAACGCUGGCGGCGUGCUUAACACAUGCAAGUCGAACGGAAAGGCCCUGCUUUUGUGGGGUGCUCGAGUGGCGAACGGGUGAGUAACACGUGAGUAACCUGCCCUUGACUUUGGGAUAACUUCAGGAAACUGGGGCUAAUACCGGAUAGGAGCUCCUGCUGCAUGGUGGGGGUUGGAAAGUUUCGGCGGUUGGAGAUGGACUCGCGGCUUAUCAGCUUGCUGGUGGGGUAGUGGCUUACCAAGGCUUUGACGGGUAGCCGGCCUGAGAGGGUGACCGGCCACAUUGGGACUGAGAUACGGCCCAGACUCCUACGGGAGGCAGCAGUGGGGAAUAUUGCACAAUGGGCGGAAGCCUGAUGCAGCAACGCCGCGUGCGGGAUGACGGCCUUCGGGUUGUAAACCGCUUUCGCCUGUGACGAAGCGUGAGUGACGGUAAUGGGUAAAGAAGCACCGGCUAACUACGUG
RNAcentral lists this ribosomal RNA (468 nucleotides) under uncultured bacterium. RNAcentral's name for it is "partial 16S ribosomal RNA". It matches the Rfam family "Bacterial small subunit ribosomal RNA", at positions 28 to 507 of the family's 1533-position model. The record is from RNAcentral.